CAGCCGCCGCGGGAAUACGAAGGGUGCAAGCGUUAAUCGGAAUUACUGGGCGUAAAGCGUGCGUAGGCGGUGAGUUAAGUCUGCUGUGAAAUCCCCGGGCUCAACCUGGGAAUGGCAGUGGAUACUGGCUCGCUAGAGUGUGUCAGAGGAUGGUGGAAUUCCCGGUGUAGCGGUGAAAUGCGUAAAGAUCGGGAGGAACAUCAGUGGCGAAGGCGGCCAUCUGGGACAACACUGACGCUGAGGCACGAAAGCGUGGGGAGCAAACAGGAUUAGAUACCCCAGUAGUCCCUGUCUCUUAUAC
Molecule: ribosomal RNA, 301 nt
Filed under: uncultured bacterium
Lineage: Bacteria
Description: partial 16S ribosomal RNA
Rfam family: Bacterial small subunit ribosomal RNA
Source: RNAcentral